Molecule: RNA transcript, 1422 nt
Organism: Fragaria vesca subsp. vesca
Lineage: Eukaryota; Viridiplantae; Streptophyta; Magnoliopsida; Rosales; Rosaceae
Exons: 6
Source: RefSeq, a predicted model, not a curated record
GUACCUAUCUUCUUGGUGAGGGCACUUCACGGCGACCCACUGGCGUCUCUUUGUUCCUAUCAUGGAUGCCGACGUUCCUCUGGUCAUAAAUCAUCCAUGCAACCAGCAAGGAGAGAGAACCAAAUCUUGAGAACUUGAGACUUCCCAUCAAUUUCUUCCUUUUUCGAUGACUUCGAUCAUUAAUUCACAUUCUUAAGUGUAUGGUGGAGAGUUUUGGAGUUCGACCUCAGCAUUAAAUCUUUCCAAAGAGCCUAUUUGUGCCACUUCAGGAUUAACUCAAAGUGUACUUCGAAUUGGAGAGUUUGAGGAGAAGGGGGCAAGGAAAGGAAUUGUCCCAGCUACUAUGUUCUUUGUCAAAGGAACUCCAUCUGUUUUGAGCUUGAUUGUUUGGCAUCCAGAUUGGACAAGAGGGUGUGAAACUUGGAAUUAAGUUCUCUGCUUAUGAGAAUAAUUAAGGAAUAGAGUAGCUACUGUUGGCGUUAGUCAAAGUGCAUGAAGCUACUACGCCAGAUUCUUCAAGUUUAGAAGUAGAGUUACCCAGAACUAGAAGAUGGUGGUGUUGGCCAAAAAGCAAAUAGAAAAGAAAGCGGCGAUAUUCCAGGGCAUAGUGACUUCCUUGGGUUUCGAUCCCCUAAACCUCCGGAGGGGCUAUAUAGACUGGAGGACGUCUAACAUCCUUUGAGGUGUGGCAUCGCUCCUAGGCGGUAUGGCAUAAAUGAACACUCUCGCUACACCUUGCCGAUGUGUACGAUAAUAAUCGUGGUAAGGUUGUAGUUGGCUUGAGAUAGAUCGGUCAUCAGGUUUGUAUUUCUACCUUGGGCCCUACCUGCAUGUUUUUACAAGGAAUGUUUAUUUUAAACUGUUAUGCAUUAUUUUCACUACUAGCCAUGGCAAAUGUUUUAAAUUGUUUUCACACCUAGUUGGGGUAAAGUUUAUUGAGCAGCGAGGACGAAAACUCACCCCUACAACAGUUUGUGGAUGCAAGUACUGUGUACGAAGACGGGACAGCUCGACAGCGUUAGGUUCUUAAAACUUGAGUGAAGGAUCCUAGCUUGGGUUCUAUGAAUGCGUGGCACUGUAAUGUGCUUGAUUUGAUGAGGUGCAAAUCGGGACGUUACACGUUUCGUCCAUAUGACUACGAAGUCUUAGGAGAAAUUCUCCAUCUAAUUAAAUACGAUAGCACAUUCAUUCAUGUACUUUGUCACGAUAUGCUCGACUCGACAUCUCAUACACUAUAAACUUGUAAGGCCAAGUUCUUCUUAGUCUUUCAACUCCAUUCGAUUCCUAGCGGUCGAGCAGCUUCACUCCCUCUUAGAUGAGUGUGAGGGAAAAUCAAGGUAGUGGUCGGAUGCGCCCACGCAACGUCAAUGUAAUGACAGUAAUUAUUUCUUUCAGUACUUAAUGGUAUGAAAUGUUUGGCUU